GGAAUCUUGGACAAUGGGGGAAACCCUGAUGCAGCCAUGCCGCGCGUGUGAAGAAGGCCUUCGGGUUGUAAAGCACUUUCAGUGGUGAGGAAGGCGUUGUAGUUAAUAGCUGCAACGAUUGACGUUAGACACAGAAGAAGCACCGGCUAACUCCGUGACAGCAGCCGCGGUAAAACGGAGGGUGCAAGCGUUAAUCGGAAUUACUGGGCGUAAAGCGUACGUAGGCGGCCUGUUAAGCAAGAUGUGAAAGCCCCGGGCUCAACCUGGGAAUGGCAUUUUGAACUGGCAGGCUCGAGUUUUGAAGAGGGUGGUAGAAUUUCCUGUGUAGCGGUGAAAUGCGUAGAUAUAGGAAGGAAUACCAGUGGCGAAGGCGGCCACCUGGUCAAAAACUGACGCUGAGGUACGAAAGCGUGGGGAGCA
Molecule: ribosomal RNA, 420 nt
Filed under: uncultured bacterium
Lineage: Bacteria
Description: bacterial SSU rRNA
Rfam family: Bacterial small subunit ribosomal RNA
Source: RNAcentral